Molecule: unclassified non-coding RNA, 3116 nt
Filed under: Nilaparvata lugens (brown planthopper)
Lineage: Eukaryota; Metazoa; Arthropoda; Insecta; Hemiptera; Delphacidae
Description: arrestin domain-containing protein 2, transcript variant X1
Source: RNAcentral
UGGUGAGGGGGCUGGGCCCCCUGGGCACAGAAUAGGUACAGAAUGGAAACUUGUAAUCUAACCAAUGAAUGCUUUUUACAUGAUGCAAAUACUAGACACGUCACGUGACCUUGGGAAGUUCCAAUCCUGGCCUUCUGAUUGACUCGUGGCAGUGAAUGAGAUCAAUUGAUCCGGAUCAUUAAAGUGAUCCGAACCUACCAUACUAUUACAAUGCUACAAUGCGGCGCUUCCUAACAAGAUGGCGGAUUUUGGCGUCAGGGUACUAGCCAAGUUUCCAUACUGUAUGUAUAGUGUGCCCUGGGCCCCUCUUAAGGGGGAUUAUAUUAUACGCCCCUGAUUAUUUCUGUCAUCUCUAAUUGGAUGUAAAAUUCGAUUCUUCAUUUAUAUCGGAACAUAAAAAUCGAUCUUCAACAAUCGAUCUUUGAACAGAGAGAUAUAACUUUUUUGAGGUAAUCUAUUUCAAAUAUCGAUAAAGUAUCGAAAGACAAAACAUCGAUGUUUUGAACAUUUUGAGCAUGUUUGAUGUUUUGAACAUCGACGAUUUUUCACCUUAACAUCGAUGAUCGAUAAACAUCGUCGAUAAAAAUCAUAUCGAUGAUCGAUAUACACCUCAACAUCGAUAAGUGAAAAACAUCAAACAGUAAACAUCGAUGUUUGAUGUUGAUACCCAUCUAUACUAAAAAAGCUAACCUUAAAUUUAAGCCUGCGCCUAAAACCCUGCGUCUUUUUCCUCAUUCCUGCUUCCUGCGUUUCACAUUUUCAUAUCAGUUUAUAAUUAUUUUUAGAUCGCUAGUGUAAAUUUUUUAUUGUUGACCUUACAACUACAUUCCUCUAUUGCAUUUGAUAAUUACCUGUGUGUAUUAGUACUUAGUAUUUGUAAUUAAAUAGGUAGUUUUUCAUUAGGCCUGCAAAUAAAUUUGCUAGAAAGUAAAACUACUCUGUACUCUGUGAUAAAAUGAAUCUGGAUAAGUUAGUAGUAGUGUUUGAUAGUCCUACAGAUACUUAUUAUGCUGGUCAAAACGUCACGGGACAAGUACAGCUAUUACUGAUGGGGCCAAAGAAAAUAAGAUCUUUGCAGAUAAAAUUUGUGGGUAAGGGAGAAGUGAAAUGGUCAGAACAAGUGAAGAUUGAGGGCAGGACUCAAUUGGAAAAUAUAGUCUACUCGGAUGAUGAGGAGUAUUACACUUUCAAGUAUAACUUGGCUGGAGGAGGAAACAGCGAGCUGCAUCUGCCUCCUGGCCAGCACAACUUCUCGUUCGCGGCUUGCCUGCCGCCCGGGCUUCCUGCGUCGUUCGAGGGCGACCGAGGCUUUGUGAGGUACUCGGUAACUGCCACACUCGAGCGACCCUGGAACUCCAGCGAAUAUGCCACCGCUAUAUUCACCGUCAUCUCGCCCAUUGAUCUCAACUACAAUCCACUCGCAAAGGCGCCAGUGCACAUGGACGUGGAGAAGUCGUUCUGCUGCUGCUGGUGCAGGUCGGGGCCACUACAGCUGGUGUUGGCCAUACCUCACUCUGGAUGGGUGCCCGGUCAGGCCAUUCCGCUCACCCUCGAACUGGACAAUGCCAGCAAUGUCACUGUCACCAAUCUCAUCGUCAAACUCGAAAAGGUUCUGGACUGGAAAGCAAGGAACCCGCAGCCCAAUCAGUGCAGAGAUCGAGUUGAACUGUCAAAGCUGACCCUGCCGGGAGUCGAACCCGGCGGCUCCAAGUCGUGGUGUCAGUUGUUGCCCAUUCCCUCCGUUGCUACCUUCAAUCUCGACCAAUGCACUAUCAUCAAUUGCUCCUACGCUCUCACCGCCAAGGCGGUGGUGGGCGGUUGCCAUACCAACCUGACAAUGGAAGUGCCCGUGUUUCUGGGGACGGUGCCUUUCUAUGAGGCCGGACCAACCGACGCCCCCUCUGCGCCCCCGCCGCCCACCAAUGCGUCAAUCGGCUUCAAUCUGGAUGCCAGCCAAUGGUGUUAUCCGUCUAUGACCACGCCCCUGCUACCAACCCAAAAUGGUUUCAGGGCAGCUCAAUAAAGUCAAUCAAUUCUUCAAAUUAUUGAAUAUUUUAUUAUCAGCUACUGAAUAUUUUAGUCAUGUUUAUUGAAUAUUUUAUUAUCAGAUAUGGUUUAUUAACUGAGGAAAUUAGCGGUUAUCUUUGAAAUGUAUGAUUGAGCCACUAGUCAGAUGCCAUCAUAAGGUUGUCAACUGCUUGUCUUAUCCAAGACAUGAGUUUUCAUAUGGAUCAAUUCCAAAGUUAGUAGUCUACUAAUGUUGGAUCAAUUCAGCCGGUUUUGAGUAGUUAUCAUUUUUUAUUGAACGUACCUCGUACUUGAAAUUGAUCAAUCUAAUCAAUACAAUUAAAAACUAUGUUAUCUCAUAUUAAUAUUGUCUUCCUGAACAGUUAAUAUUUUUAUUACUCUUCAUUAUUUAUUUUUUAUAAUGAAAUACGAGUAAAGUAGUAAAAUUUAGAAAAGAAUAAUAAUUCAAAUUAUAGCCUAUAUUUUAUAUUGAUAUACAAAAUAUAUUCAUUUCAUAUUUUUAUAUUUAUAUAUAUUAUAAUAUACACUGACAAUUACUAUAAAAGUAUAAUAAACGUGCUUAAAAAUGUUAUACUAUUUCCAUAGCCUAUAUUUCAUAGCGUUGCCUUCAAGCUAGUUAUAAGGAUAUUGAUGUUAUGUGUUUAUAAGAAUUAUGUGUUAAAAUUCAAGUUAAGAAGUUCCUGCUAUUUGUUAAUCUUCAUAAUAUUUUCAAAUGCACUACGGAUAAGAAUCUAAUACAAGGAUAAAAUUUGAUAAUAUAUUGUUGAGUAGUACUUAAACCCGAUAGAAAAUGUUAGAAUUGAAGAGACUUGAGGUAAAGUUUGCGUGCAGAGAGAUGUUAUGGAACUUUUCCGUAAUUUAUUGAAGAGACUUGAGGUUAUGUCAAUAUUCCACUUUAUUUAGGUUUUUCCACUAAUGUUAGGAUUUUUUUAAGACAAUUUUUAUUGGUAGACUACCCAAUUGUUUAUGUGUACUUGAUUUUAUUAUUUGUUUGAUGAUUACAUUUUAUUUUAUUGUAAUCAUAUAUCCUCUUAUUUAUCUCUUUUCUGUAUAGGGCUACUUGUAAUAUAAAUAUAAAGAAAAAUAAA